Molecule: long non-coding RNA, 1743 nt
Organism: Arachis duranensis
Lineage: Eukaryota; Viridiplantae; Streptophyta; Magnoliopsida; Fabales; Fabaceae
Exons: 3
Source: RefSeq, a predicted model, not a curated record
CCAAAAUAAAUCAUUUGUAUUUUAAUUUUACCGGAUUACAACUUUUAAAGAUUACAUACGCAAAUAUAACUUUAAUAUUAUUAUAGAAACCGACAAUAACUACAAAUUAGGUAUAGAUGUAAACCGCUAGAGGAGUAUAACGGUUUAUAUUCAAACACGUUAAGGAAAAAAUCACAACAUUCCUCCAGCGGUUUCUUCACAAAAUUCAAUUAUGCAUAAACCGUGAUAGGAAAAUAGCAGUUUAUGCGUGCUUGAGUAUAAAUACGCCGGAGGAAGUCGCGAAUUAUUCAUCAGUUUGUAUCAUUUAGCAAAAGUUUAGAGAGAAGUUAAACUUUGUUUUAGAGAGAAAGAGAAAAAAAAUUGUGGAUUGAGAGGGAAAGGUUCUUAAGGUUAUUGGACAUUUGGAAUUAUUUAAGCGCAGGAUCAUGGCGGACGAAUACACCUUGUACUGACUUAAUGGCGCUGCGCAUGUUGCCUGAAGCAUUAACGAAGAGGUGAGCCACUUAUUUAUUGACAUCCGACCACAAGGAGGAAAGAAUUAUCCAGUGUCGCCUUGCAUUAGACCGCUUGGUGGUCAAGAUGUAAGUUGUUUGUAUUUGUUUCCAAGUUUUAUUACUCAUUCGCCAACAUGUUUAAUAUAUACUGUACUAAUGGAAGAUUUUAUAAUCAUUUGCAAAUUGUGUGGGAGCCUUAUGCUGUGCUGGACGUGCUUGUCGUUGUUAAUCCAAAGAUUCAGUUGAGAAGCACAAUCGGUUAUGACGGGGUUGACUAGCCUGAUAUAUUUUACCGUGAUUGAAUAGCACCAAGUGAACAGGGUAUUCCCAUAGCUUGUUGGCCUUCAACAUAUGCCUGAACCAGCCUUAAACAUAAACUGGUUUCAUGACAAGGAUGGUAAGGAUGAAAAUAGGUGGUUUUCGAGUUAUUUUCAGGUGAAAUUCGGACGAAUUUGGCAGAGUCUUGUGCAAAGAUAAAGAAAGGAUAGCAGAUGCUGUCAAUCCUGACCUCCUUGCAUUCCAACGAGCAUAACUUGAGUUACAGAGGUACAAUUGACGCGGUCUCAACGGCAUUAGAAAGCUAAUUUUCAGAGCUUUCCAACAAUAUAUAAUAGUAUAUACUUCUCUUUUGGAAUCACUGCCAAAUCAUACGCUAAACUCCAAGACUGACAUUUAGCGCCCAAGAAGGAGCCACUUCCUGCGCUGAACGCCCAAAACUGGCGUUCAACGCCAACCAGGGAGCAAGGGACAGAAUGCACUCCUCCCCUAUGGGCGUUCAACGCCCAGAUUGGCGUUGAACGCCAGGAAGAACCGAAGCAAUCACCAAAGUGGUUAAAGUUAUGAGCAACUAAACCUCUUGGUUAAAGUUAGGAACUCUGUUUAUUUCUAUAGAUUAAAGUUAUUAUUUUUCUAUUUUAAUUAAUGUUUGAUUCAAUUCUAAGGUGUUGUUUUCGUUCUUAAUCUUAUGCAUCUGGGGUGGAACGAGAGUAUGACCCUUUAUUCUACAUGAGUUCUUGUGAUUCUCGAGAGAGCUAUCUCGAUUGGACUACAGCUUGAAAACACUCCUCCUAAACUGCAAUUUACUUGGGCUAAUUAGAUAUGUGACAUAAAAUCCGGUUAGCUUUAGCUAAUUGAGGUUUUUGUGGCGCUAAACUAAUUUUUUGAACUUCACCCUCCGAUCUGAAUUGAAUGACCACGAGAGUGGCUUUUGAUGAAGGUUAUAGGAGAUUAAAUCGCUAAGAGAUUAUGU